Dendroctonus ponderosae (mountain pine beetle) is the source of this 575-nucleotide long non-coding RNA. RefSeq lists it as uncharacterized. NCBI's taxonomy places the organism in Eukaryota, Metazoa, Arthropoda, Insecta, Coleoptera, Curculionidae. The record is from RefSeq and is a predicted model, not a curated record. The transcript has 4 exons.
AUAUUUUGCAAAUUCAAUCGUAUUUUCGAAACGAAAACUUCCAGCAUUUUCUGAAACGUAAACAACACCGCUUACAAAUCCUUCCUGGGCAAAAAACCGGUAUUAUUAAUAUAAACAAACAUGCUCCGACAAGUUGAUUUGGUUGCGCACAGCAGUGAUAUUUGGACCUUUUAUAUCCCCACUGCUAUUUAAUAUAAGUGCUCAAAUUAUUUUCACCUCAUCCUCAUCUUCUGGUAAAUGGGGCAUUGUUUUAACAGCUUAGAGGGAUGUCAGAGUUGUGCCUCCGUUUAUAUAUUUUAUUUGUUUUUAUUCGCGAUAUGGACCUUUUUUGAGUGUUUUUGCUACGGGAACCCGAAUUCCAGGCAGUAAAGGAACUAACGAUGGAUUGAUUUUUCGAGUGACUGCUGUAGAAAUAGUCAUUGACGGCACUAUGCGGCUUUCGGGUUCCAUUCACCAGCUCCAAAGCCACGAAGUUGGAAAGACAGGAUAGAUUCAAUGUAAGAAAACUUAAUACAUAUUUUCAAAUAAUCUAUAUUUGCAUGGUUAAACUGAAAACACACUUCAUGAUUGCAAUA